GUGAGGAAUAUUGGACAAUGGGCGCAAGCCUGAUCCAGCCAUGCCGCGUGCAGGAAGACGCAUCUAUGGUGUGUAAACUGCUUUUGUACGGGAAGAAACACUCCCUCGUGAGGGAGCUUGACGGUACCGUAAGAAUAAGGAUCGGCUAACUCCGUGCCAGCAGCCGCGGUAAUACGGAGGAUCCAAGCGUUCGCCGGAAUCAUUGGGUUUAAAGGGUCCGUAGGCGGGUUAAUAAGUCAGUGGUGAAAGCCCAUCGCUCAACGAUGGAACGGCCAUUGAUACUGGUAGACUUGAAUUACAAGGAAGUAACUAGAAUAUGUAGUGUAGCGGUGAAAUGCUUAGAUAUUACAUGGAAUACCAAUUGCGAAGGCAGGUUACUACUUGUGGAUUGACGCUGAUGGACGAAAGCGUGGGGAGCGAACAGGAUUAGAAACCCUAGUAGUCC
This 445-nucleotide ribosomal RNA is filed under the name uncultured bacterium. RNAcentral's name for it is "partial 16S ribosomal RNA". It matches the Rfam family "Bacterial small subunit ribosomal RNA", at positions 354 to 796 of the family's 1533-position model. The record is from RNAcentral.